CGAAGUUGGCUAUGCGGGUGUCCCCUUCCUCCCAGACCUCUCCAUGUGUGUCCCUCCCAAAGCUGUGCACUCAGUUGAAGAGGACGACCAUCCCCCAUACAGAAGGAUGGUCUUUGGUCAAGGGUAUAGGAGUAGCUGUGCUCCCCUGCUAGCACCUCCAAACAAGCUCAUAGACACUACUUUUAAAAGUCAGAGUUUGGACUGACCUAAAAAGUGAAUACAAGAUAAAUACGGUAGACUUAUCUGAUGAUU
Unclassified non-coding RNA from Dipodomys ordii (Ord's kangaroo rat), 252 nucleotides. Its record names the gene 7SK. It matches the Rfam family "7SK RNA". From Rfam's summary of the family: 7SK was discovered as an abundant small nuclear RNA in the mid-70s but a possible function has only recently been suggested. Two independent studies have found that 7SK RNA binds the CDK9/cyclin T complex (known as elongation factor P-TEFb). Lineage: Eukaryota; Metazoa; Chordata; Mammalia; Rodentia; Heteromyidae. The record is from Ensembl.